CGGCCACCGCUAUAGGAAUUCGAUUAAGACAUGCGAGUCGAGAGUCGUAAUGGACUCGGCGGACUGCUCAGUAACACGUGGAUAACGUGCCCUUAAGUGGAGGAUAAUCUCGGGAAACUGAGAAUAAUACUCCAUAGAUUAUGGAAUCUGGAAUGAUCCAUAGUCGAAAGUUCCGGCGCUUAAGGAUCGGUCUGCGGCCUAUCAGGUAGUAGUGGGUGUAACGUACCUACUAGCCUAUGACGGGUAUGGGCCUUGAGAGAGGGAGCCCAGAGUUGGAUUCUGAGACACGAAUCCAGGCCCUACGGGGCGCAGCAGUCGCGAAAACUUCACAAUGGGGGCAACCCCGAUGAGGGAAUUCCUAGUGCUAUCACAAUUGUGUUAGCUUUUCUCUAGCGUAGAUAACUAGAGGAAU
This 412-nucleotide ribosomal RNA is filed under the name uncultured archaeon. RNAcentral describes it as "SSU rRNA". It matches the Rfam family "Archaeal small subunit ribosomal RNA", at positions 22 to 436 of the family's 1478-position model. The record is from RNAcentral.